Molecule: ribosomal RNA, 1346 nt
Filed under: uncultured bacterium
Lineage: Bacteria
Description: bacterial SSU rRNA
Rfam family: Bacterial small subunit ribosomal RNA
Source: RNAcentral
GACGAACUUUGGCGGCGUGCUUAACACAUGCAAGUCGAACGGAAAGGCCCUGCUUUUGUGGGGUGCUCGAGUGGCGAGCGGGUGAGUAACACGUGAGUAACCUGCCCUUGACUUUGGGAUAACUUCAGGAAACUGGGGCUAAUACCGGAUAGGAGCUCCUGCUGCAUGGUGGGGGUUGGAAAGUUUCGGCGGUUGGGGAUGGACUCGCGGCUUAUCAGCUUGUUGGUGGGGUAGUGGCUUACCAAGGCCUUGACGGGUAGCCGGCCUGAGAGGGUGACCGGCCACAUUGGGACUGAGAUACGGCCCAGACUCCUACGGGAGGCAGCAGUGGGGAAUAUUGCACAAUGGGCGGAAGCCUGAUGCAGCAACGCCGCGUGCGGGAUGACGGCCUUCGGGUUGUAAACCGCUUUCGCCUGUGACGAAGCGUGAGUGACGGUAAUGGGUAAAGAAGCACCGGCUAACUACGUGCCAGCAGCCGCGGUGAUACGUAGGGUGCGAGCGUUGUCCGGAUUUAUUGGGCGUAAAGGGCUCGUAGGUGGUUGAUCGCGUCGGAAGUGUAAUCUUGGGGCUUAACCCUGAGCGUGCUUUCGAUACGGGUUGACUUGAGGAAGGUAGGGGAGAAUGGAAUUCCUGGUGGAGCGGUGGAAUGCGCAGAUAUCAGGAGGAACACCAGUGGCGAAGGCGGUUCUCUGGGCCUUUCCUGACGCUGAGGAGCGAAAGCGUGGGGAGCGAACAGGCUUAGAUACCCUGGUAGUCCACGCUGUAAACGGUGGGUACUAGGUGUGGGGUCCAUUCCACGGGUUCCGUGCCGUAGCUAACGCUUUAAGUACCCCGCCUGGGGAGUACGGCCGCAAGGCUAAAACUCAAAGGAAUUGACGGGGCCCCGCACAAGCGGCGGAGCAUGCGGAUUAAUUCGAUGCAACGCGUAGAACCUUACCUGGGUUUGACAUGGAUCGGGAGUGCUCAGAGAUGGGUGUGCCUCUUUUGGGGUCGGUUCACAGGUGGUGCAUGCCUGUCGUCAGCUCGUGUCGUGAGAUGUUGGGUUAAGUCCCGCAACGAGCGCAACCCUUGUUCACUGUUGCCAGCACGUUAUGGUGGGGACUCAGUGGAGACCGCCGGGGUCAACUCGGAGGAAGGUGGGGAUGACGUCAAGUCCUCAUGCCCCUUAUGUCCAGGGCUUCACGCAUGCUACAAUGGCUGGUACAGAGAGUGGCGAGCCUGUGAGGGUGAGCGAAUCUCGGAAAGCCGGUCUCAGUUCGGAUUGGGGUCUGCAGCUCGACCUCAUGAAGUCGGAGUCGCUAGUAAUCGCAAAGCAGCAACGCUGCGGUGAAUACGUUCCCGGGGCC